AUGCUCCCCCUAAUACGCCGCCUCCCCGCCGCUCCUUCCCGCCUAGCCGCCCUCGCACUCCGCCGACCACACCGUCGAGCUGCGGCGGCGGCGUGGCCGACGACAACGACACCCGCGGUGUCCUCCUCCCGUCUCGCGGGCUCGCCGCCUGCAGAGAAUCCAGCGGCGGAUCAGGGGAGCGAGUUGGAGCCCCGACCCGAACCCCUCGACCGGGACUGGGGCUCAACGCUGUCCCGGGCGGACCUUACAGAGGUUGCCGGGAUCCUCCGGCGGUUGCGCGACGAGCAGAUCAGUCUGGGCCUGGGCACCUUGAAUCUGCUGCUGAAGCGAGCGUGCGAAGCAGACGACUUCCUUCUCUUCGCCAAGGUAUUCAGACACUUGCUGCUCUCCAAAGCUGCUCCCGACUUGACUUCCUACAUGUGUGUCGCCAGGGCCAUUGGGGGUUUAGAUGACAAUGAACUGUUACUCAAGUUUGUGAGAGAGGUAUUGGAGAUCACAAAUGGCAGAGACCCCACGGUGGCGAAUCGCAUUGUUUUCGCCACGGGUAGAUACGGGCACCUCGAUAAAUGCUUGAUCAUUUUCGAGGAGCUGAAGAAGGAUAAGAGAUGCUUGGAUGUUGUCACGUUCAACACUGUCUUGGACAUGCUAGGAAAGGUCGGUCGGGUGGACGAAAUGCUUUGUGAGGUGAAGCUGAUGGAGGAACUUGGCAUUUCUCCUGACACCGUGACGUAUAAUACGGUGAUAAACUGCCUGCGUAGGCUUGGAAGAUUUGGUCUGUGCAAAAGCUUUGCAAGAGAGAUGUUUGAGAGAGGCAUCAGUCCUGAUUUGAGAACGUAUACCGCGCUAAUUGAUUGUUUUGGAAGGGCAGGGCAUAUUGCUGAUGCCCUCGAGGCGUUUGAGCAGAUGAAGAAGUCGCACCAACCUUCGAUUUAUGUCUAUCGUGCACUGAUCAGUGACAUGAAAAAAGCUGGGCGGUUUGAGCUAGCACAAAAGCUCACCGAUGAGAUGAAUUCAAGUGCUUCUGAUUUGUUAGGCCCUGAAGAUUUCAAGGAGAAGUCCAAGGGAAGAAGGGUCAGGAAUAGCAGCAGGUAA
RNAcentral lists this ribosomal RNA (1092 nucleotides) under Triticum aestivum (bread wheat). RNAcentral's name for it is "partial small subunit ribosomal RNA". Lineage: Eukaryota; Viridiplantae; Streptophyta; Magnoliopsida; Poales; Poaceae. The record is from RNAcentral.